UUUAAUUCGAUGAUACGCGAGGAACCUUACCCGGGCUUGAAUUGCAGACGUAGGAUACAGAGAUGUUGACUCCCUUCGGGGUGUCUGUGAAGGUGCUGCAUGGUUGUCGUCAGCUAGUGCCGUGAGGUGUCGGCUUAAGUGCCAUAACGAGCGCAGCCCCUUUCCUUAGUUGCCAUCAGGUCAUGCUGGGCACUCUGGGGACACUGCCACCGCAAGGUGUGAGGAAGGUGGGGAUGACGUCAAAUCAGCACGGCCCUUACGUCCGGGGCUACACACGUGUUACAAUGGCCGGUACAGAGGGACGGUGUAAUGCAAGUUGCAUCCAAUCUUGAAAGCCGGUCCCAGUUCGGACUGAGGUCUGCAACCCGACCUCACGAAGCUGGAUUCGCUAGUAAUCGCGCAUCAGCCAUGGCGCGGUGAAUACGUUCCCGGGCCUUGUACACACCGCCCGUCAAGCCAUGAAAGCCGGGGGUGCCUGAAGUUCGUAACCGCGAGGAGCGACCUAGGGCAAAACUGGUGAUUGGGGCUAAGUCGUAACAAGGUAGCCGUAAUA
RNAcentral lists this ribosomal RNA (553 nucleotides) under uncultured bacterium. RNAcentral's name for it is "bacterial SSU rRNA". It matches the Rfam family "Bacterial small subunit ribosomal RNA", at positions 945 to 1507 of the family's 1533-position model. The record is from RNAcentral.